UUUUAUAUUAUAAUAUAAUUGAGGAUAUAUGUAAAAUAAAUUUAAAAUUAUUUAAAAUAUUUAAUUGGGGUGAUUGAAAAAUUUAAAUAACUUUUUUUUUUAUUUUACAUUAAUAGGUGAAUUAAUGAUCCAUUUUUAGUGAUUAAAAGAAAAA
This 154-nucleotide ribosomal RNA is filed under the name Lasiocampa quercus (oak eggar). RNAcentral describes it as "partial large subunit ribosomal RNA". Lineage: Eukaryota; Metazoa; Arthropoda; Insecta; Lepidoptera; Lasiocampidae. The record is from RNAcentral.